UUCAUAUUGUAGCGUCCUCGCGUAUAGACGACAGGAAACUUCUCUCUUUAUGUGUAACUUUAUUAAACUCCAGCGAACACGACUAGCUUCUUGUUCGUAACUCUGACACUCCUCUCAUCCACCACUGUAUUCUUCACUCCCCUUCCUCAUUCACCCUUGAUACGCCAACUCAUCAGCCAAUGAGAGCCUGGCAUCCCACAAAACCCUACAGCCAUUGGCCUAGAACUUUCACGUGCCCCACCCCUACCUGUUCAUUGACCCUCGGGACAUUUCAAUACUUUCUCCUCAGGAGAGACGCUGUCUAAAUCGAAUGCUUUCACCAUGUCGUUGCUCAGUGCCCGUAAAAUGUCCGCGAUUUAGCCUAACCGAAACCAACUAACUAGACUUAUCACUACGUUACCCAUCACUCAUGGCACACAUAUGCAGACCAAACAAGCAACGUAUUCCAAGUGUUUUCUUCUCUGGCCAGUGUCUCGGCUCCGUACCACACAACUUGGUAGAAGGAUUAAUUCAGUAUAGUGAAUUAAUCUGGAAUCUUCUCUAAAAAAAUAUUCCCCAAAAUUGUUUUUCCCCAUUUACUUUAAAGGGGACAUAUUAUGAAAAUUCCACUUUUGUAGUGCUUCUACACAUUAGUUUGGGUAUCUGGCAUGUCUACCGUCCCAAAAUCAACCUGGGCCAAUAUAACGCUGGAUUCUCUAAAAGGUUGUUAUUGAAAGAGGGGUCGGUGCCAUCUUUCCAUCGCAAUACUGAAGACGAGGGAAAUGCAAGCACAUCUGUUCACGGUGCUAGGCUACAUCACGUAGCAUGCCAGACGGACCCACCACAGAUGCGCACACAUGGAACGCAGCUUUCUAUGAAAACACUGCGACCUCACUACAAACGUACAGGCACACAGAAAACUGUGCUGCACUGAUGUCGGUGUUGGGACCUCAGCUGUAAGAGACCUCGCUUGGAGGAGGGAGAGGACAAGAUGUGACAUUACAUGGAUAACCUGUUGGACCUCAUCUUUCACGAGGUUUUUCAGGACCCGGCCCCAUAUGUGAAUGAGGUGCUGAAGAUCUCAAAACCUGAGGAUCUCUCUGCCUUGUAUGAGAAACCUGACAGGAAGUUAUAGCCAGCUAUGUGUCGAGUUUCAAUCAAGGGCAGGUCUGAACCCUGUAUAACUUCCCUGAGCAUCAGGGAACACUCUGCGUAUCUGGAGCACCGAGCAGGAGGGCAGGACCACCCUGAUUCUCCGGCCCAGAGGGCCUCAACACCAGCUCACAAAGCUUCUGUACGCCAAAUACCUGUAACGGCUGAGCAAAGUUCACAUUGUAUUUAGAGAAUAAAAGGUGACACACAAAUAUAAAGUGUUCCUUUGUUUACAGUAUAGCUACUUAUGGCACAAAUUGUAUUUUUGUAAUGAAUGUAUUUAUUAUACUUGGUAUUUUUUGUAUUUAUUACCUCUGUCCCAGCCAGUACAUUUAAUAACUGAUUAAAAAGCUCUGUGGCAAUCUUUCUAGCAAUCUUUCUGACAAUAAAAGUUUAUAGAAACAGUUGUGUGCUUUUAAUGUUUGAUAUGUAACAUGUCAACAAUUGACACGUGUAAGAUGAGCAGUUAGCAAAGUA
Long non-coding RNA from Pleuronectes platessa (European plaice), 1608 nucleotides. RefSeq lists it as uncharacterized. The record is from RefSeq and is a predicted model, not a curated record. Lineage: Eukaryota; Metazoa; Chordata; Actinopteri; Pleuronectiformes; Pleuronectidae. The transcript has 4 exons.